Nicrophorus vespilloides is the source of this 320-nucleotide long non-coding RNA. RefSeq lists it as uncharacterized. NCBI's taxonomy places the organism in Eukaryota, Metazoa, Arthropoda, Insecta, Coleoptera, Silphidae. The transcript has 2 exons. The record is from RefSeq and is a predicted model, not a curated record.
AGGCGGAGGAUUGGGAGGAGGCGGUGGAUUAGGCGGAUUUGGUGGGCAUCACGGAGGUGGAGGAUAUCACGGAGGUGGAGGAUAUCACGGAGGUGUAGGACAUCACGGUGGACGUCCUAGUUGGGGUGGCGGACGUCCAGGAGGAUGGGGCGGUGGACGUCCCGGAGGUUUUGGCGGAGCAUCUUGGAGCAAAGCCUCAGCGUCAUCCGGUUCUUUUGGACGCGGCUACGGUCGUUGAUUUCUACUUCUCUCUCUUCCUAAGCGAGUCAAGGUUUUGUAAAUUUUGUAAUAAACAAAUAAUAAAGACAAACUAUUAUUUA